AUGUUUGACUGGGGAUGGCAAUGGAGAGUGAGGGAAUUUGGAAAGAAUGGAUACAUGAUGAGAUUUCCCAAUAAGGCAAAGUUGGUGGAGUUGGCCAAGUUUAAUGACUUUAACUUGUUGGGAACAGGGGUGGUGAUCAAGGUUCAACCCUGGUCUCUUGACCAUCAGGCUGUUGGGAAGAUGCAUACCUUUUGGGUCAAGCUGACCAAAGUACCAGAUUGUUUUAGGCACUUUUUAGGUGUUUGUGAAGUUGCCGCUGCAGUUGGGCCUGUCUUAGAGAUUGAUAUGGACACUAUAAAUAAGGAGAAAAUUAGAGCAAAGUGUGGAAUCAGGGAUGUGGAUAAAAUACCAGCUCAAGUUGAGAUCACUUCACCUGAUCUCCUUAUGUUCAGAAUUGGGGUGGAAGCUGAAAAAGGGGUGGAAAUUGGCUGGUACAAGGAAGAGAAGAGGAAAAAUGACAACAAUAAUAUCUCAGAAGAGGGAGAGGAAGAGAUUGACAACGGGAAGAUGACCAAAUUGGAAGACAAUGAGCACAAGGGGGUUUCUCUGGGAUGUUUAUCCCUGAAACAGAGUGAAGAGGUUGAUGGAAGAAUUGAAAGGAUGAAAUCUCAGAUGGAAGAAAACAUGAUACAAUGGCAAAGUGAGAGAACUUUAGAGAGAAGAAAAUGGCAAAAAGAAAGUGAAAUCAUGCUCAGUAAAAUAAAAGCUUUGGAGGAAGACAAAGUCAGGAAUAAUGCAUUGUGGGCAAAAAAUAAAAACAGAAUUAGAGAAUUAGAGAGGAUUCAGACAGAGCUGCAGGAGACUAGUAAAAAACAACUAGAAGAUAUCCAGAAGUUGGCACAAGAGGCUGCUAAUAGGGAGGAAUAUGAAAUGGAAUUAGCAAACAUGGACCUUGAAGAUUAUGAGAAAGAGACUCAGCAGAAAAAAGAAGAUACUGAUUCAGGGAAAUAUAAUGAGCCCACUGACUAUAAUGCUAGCCAAGAAUCUAUUGGGACUUUGGGGGAGAAAAUGGCUGAAAUACAUGGGAGUGGGGUCCUGGACAAAGAAGGGGAAGAAAAAGAUGUUGAGAUCAAGAGAAGUCUUAGGAACAAGGGGAAGGAGGACAAGAAAAUUGAAGAUAUGGCUAAAAGCAGAGCUUAG
This 1140-nucleotide ribosomal RNA is filed under the name Triticum aestivum (bread wheat). Its description in RNAcentral is "partial small subunit ribosomal RNA". The record is from RNAcentral. Lineage: Eukaryota; Viridiplantae; Streptophyta; Magnoliopsida; Poales; Poaceae.